Molecule: non-coding RNA, 2931 nt
Organism: Callithrix jacchus (white-tufted-ear marmoset)
Lineage: Eukaryota; Metazoa; Chordata; Mammalia; Primates; Cebidae
Source: RefSeq, a predicted model, not a curated record
GGGGUGGGGCAGAAGCCACCCCCACCCCUCAAGGUGAAGUCCAGUCGGGAAACCAGGCCAGUGUCGCCAGACUUUAUACCACCGCUGAGAACCUGCCCAGCACAACCAACCCAGGCCGCCCGACGGGACUCUGGCUACCCUCUUCCCACCCCUGGGUAGCUCUCAGGCUCCAUUCUCCGCUCUGCCUCCUCCAAGUCCUUUCUCCUGUACGAGCUGCUUCAGCCCCUCAGUCACCUUCCCCUUACGCUGUGACUGCGACUUCACCAUCCCCUUCACCAUUCCCAUGACCUGCCAUCUAAACCACACGGUCUUUUGUGCUUUAUGAAGUAGGCAUCACGCUGUAACUUAUCUGUCACUGCCUGCCUCACUCUUGGAGUCAGGCUGUGUCUCCAGUAGAGGAGACUGGGAAUUUUGAACCACAGGAAAGAGAGUGGUCAUUUUUGGCUUGCCAGUCCAGUUAGAGCUGGAAUUGGCCACCAAACAAGGGGGCUUCAUCAGGAUCACCCUUGCCUCCAUUUUCGGAAGAUCUUGAAGGAAUAUGACUGCCAGCCUUCACUUUCCACAAGCAAACAAACCCUCUGAGGAAGCAGGAUGCUCCUGCUUGGAGCUGGUUGGCCUCAGGCUGUGGUGCCCAGUUACCUGCUGGUCCCUUCAGGCUUCAGGCCUCAGGUCUCAUACCUCCAGGGAGUUCUGUUGGCCCAUCUGAAGUUCUGCCUACAAGGAGAUUUGGAUUUGUUUUCCCAGUUGAACCAAAGACCAGAUUGAAACAGGAUCUCCUGCCAUCAGCGCUGCCACUAACCACUAAUGUCUUGGGAAAGGCAGUUCCAUCUUGUUUGGUCAGGCCUGUCCCUUUAGAGAUAUGCACAUAGUGAAUGUGUCAGGAGUGGGUCAGCUUGCUUUUUUGAGUCUGUUCUAGUUAUGUCUUGCCCCAAAAUGCUCUGGAUGACCCAGGAACCCUUGCACAAGAGUCUGGAAUCCUUUGAGAAUCUCGAGGGUCAGACUGGGCUUGGAUCCUAGUCUCCUCUGCCAGUGGCACACUGGGCACUGCUGCAGGCUCUUUCUCAAAGUUCCUUUACUUCAUCUUCACAUCCCAGGAACCAACCCAAAUGCACCUUGUAGCAGAGCUCACCAUUCCUUCCUUCCUUUUUUUUUUUUUUUUUUUUUUUGAGACUGAGCCUUGCUCUGUAGCACAGACUGGAGUGCAAUGGCAUAAUCUUGGCUCACUGCAACCUCCGCCUCCCAGGUUCAAGCAAUUCUCCUGCCUCAGCCUCCUGAGUAGCUGGGGUUACAGGUGUGUGCCACCACAACCAGCUAAUUUUUGUAUUAGAGACAGGGUUUUGCCGUGUUGGCCAGGCUGGUCUCAAACUCCAGAUCUCAGAUGAUCCACCUGCCCCAGCAUCCCAAAGUGCUAGGACUGCAGAUGUAAGCCACUGCACCUGGCCAAGAGCUCACUGUUUCUACGCAAAUAAAAUAGAAUGAGGCUGGGCGCGGUGGCUCAAGCCUGUAAUCCCAGCACUUUGGGAGGCCGAGGUGGGUGGAUCACGAGGUCAGCAGAUCGAGACCAUUCUGGUCAACAUAGUGAAACCCCGUCUCUACUAAAAAUACAAAAAUUUAGCUGGGCACGGUGGCAUGUGCCUGUAAUCCCAGCUACUCAGGAGGCUGAGGCAGGAGAAUUGCCUGAAUCCAGGAGGCGGAGGUUGUGGUGAGCCGAGAUCGCGCCAUUGCACUCCAGCCUGGGUGAAAAGAGUGAAACUCUGUCUCAAAAAAAAAAAAGAAUGAAAGUCUAUUUCUAGAAGAAGAAAUUUUGAAUUUUGAAGAAUCUUCUAAUAGAAGAAAUUUUGGAAAUUUAAAAAUUCAUAAUUGUUUUUGAAAGACUGCAGCCUGGCACGGUGGUUCAUGCCUGUAAUCCCAGCAUUUUGGGAGGCCAAGGCAGGCGGAUCACCUGAGGUCAGGAGUUUGAGACCAGCCUGACCAACAUGGUGAAACCCUGCCUCUACUAAAAAUACAAAAAUUAGCUGGGCAUGGUGGCAGGUGCGGGUAAUUUCAGCUACUUGGGAGGCUAAGGCAGGAGAAUUGCCUGAAACCAGGAGGCAGAGGUUGCAGUGAGUCUAGAUCACGUCACUGCACUCCGGCCUGAGUGACAGAGCAAGACUUCCUCUUAAAAAAAAAACAAACCGGCUUUGCAGACGCCGAUGCUGCCGCCACCGCCUGGAGCCUUGUAGUAUCAGCCAUGAUCAACCCCACCGUGUUCUUCGACAUUGCCGUCAACGACGAGCCCUUGGGCCGUGUCUCCUUCGAGCUGUUUGCAGACAAGUUUCCAAAGACAGCAGAAAACUUUUGUGCUCUGAGCACUGGAGAGAAAGGAUUUGGUUAUAAGGGUUCCUGCUUUCACAGAAUUAUUCCAGGUUUAUGUGUCAGGGUGGUGACUUCACACGCCAUAAUGGCACUGGUGGCAAGUCCAUCUAUGGGGAGAAAUUUGAUGAUGAGAACUUCAUUCUAAAGCAUACAGGUCCCGGCAUCUUGUCCAUGGCAAAUGCUGGACCCAAUGCAAACGGUUCCCAGUUUUUCAUCUGCACUGUCAAGACUGAGUGUUUGGAUGGCAAGCAUGUGGUCUUUGGCAAGGUGAAAGAAGGCAUGAAUAUUGUGGAGGCCAUGGAGCGCUUUGGGUCCAGGAAGGGCAAGACCAGCAAGAAGAUCACCAUUGCUGACUGUGGACAACUUUAAUAAGUUUGACUUGUGUUUUAUCUUAACCACCAGACCAUUCCUUCUGUAGCUCAGGAGAGCACCCCUCCACCCCAUUUGCUCGCAGUAUCCUAAAAUCUGUGCUCUCGCUGCAGUUCCCUUUGGGUUCCAUGUUUUCCUUGUUCCCUUCCAUGCCUAGCUGGAUUGCAGAGUUAAGUUUAUGAUUAUGAAAUAAAGACUAAAUAACAA